GAUGAACGCUGACAGAAUGCUUAACACAUGCAAGUCGAUGGGGAAGUGGUGCUUGCACCAUGGCAACCAUGGCGGACGGGUGAGUAACGCGUAAGGGACUUACCUGCAGGACUGGGAUAACAGGGGGAAACUCCUGACAAGACCGGAUAAUGUCAUGGAGCUGCAUGGCUUUAUGAUGAAAGGAGACGCCUGCGGAGAGCCUUGCGUCCUAUUAGCUAGUUGGUGAGGUAAUGGCUCACCAAGGCGAAGAUAGGUAGCCGGCCUGAGAGGGUGGACGGCCACAAGGGGACUGAGAUACGGCCCUUACUCCUACGGGAGGCAGCAGUGGGGAAUAGUGGACAAUGGGGGCAACCCUGAACCAGCAAUUCUGUGUGCACGAAGAAGGUUUUCGGAUUGUAAAGUGCUUUCAGCAGGGAAGAAGUAAGUGACGGUACCUGCAGAAGAAGCGACGGCUAAAUACGUG
This 463-nucleotide ribosomal RNA is filed under the name uncultured bacterium. RNAcentral's name for it is "partial 16S ribosomal RNA". It matches the Rfam family "Bacterial small subunit ribosomal RNA", at positions 28 to 507 of the family's 1533-position model. The record is from RNAcentral.